GCGCGGUUAGCUCAGUGGUAGAGCGCUUGCUUCACACGCAAGAAGUCGCAGGUUCGAACCCUGCAUCGCGCA
Molecule: transfer RNA, 72 nt
Filed under: Verrucomicrobiota bacterium
Lineage: Bacteria; Pseudomonadati; Verrucomicrobiota
Description: Verrucomicrobia bacterium (rhizosphere metagenome) tRNA-Val
Rfam family: tRNA
About the family: Transfer RNA (tRNA) molecules are approximately 80 nucleotides in length. Their secondary structure includes four short double-helical elements and three loops (D, anti-codon, and T loops). Further hydrogen bonds mediate the characteristic L-shaped molecular structure. tRNAs have two regions of fundamental functional importance: the anti-codon, which is responsible for specific mRNA codon recognition, and the 3' end, to which the tRNAs corresponding amino acid is attached (by aminoacyl-tRNA synthetases). tRNAs cope with the degeneracy of the genetic code in two manners: having more than one tRNA (with a specific anti-codon) for a particular amino acid; and 'wobble' base-pairing, i.e. permitting non-standard base-pairing at the 3rd anti-codon position.
Source: RNAcentral